AGCAGCAGCAGCCACAACCGAAGCAGCAGCAACAUUGUAGAUAAUGCGCGAACCGGCUAAAGAACCAAUGCCCGUAACUAGAUCCAUAAGCUGAAAAUCAAUCAGGCGGAAAGUCAGACGGUCCGAGGAAACAACAACAAAGACGAAACAAAACACAGAGCGGUACGAUGGGGCAUAAAAAGAAGCCUAUUAGAAGACAAGCGGCAGCCCAAGGCGAAAACAACAACUGGCGGCAGUCAACAAUCGAGAAUAACAGCAACGAAACUUAAAAUUGGAUGAACUAGAAAGAAAAAAACAGUAGCCACGAAAUCGAUUGAAGAGCUAAAGACUUGGCCAUUGGAGCGCUCCAGCUUGAGCUCGAGUCUGGGCUCCAUUUCGAUGACGGGUGACGAAGAUGUUGUUGAUGAUGAUGAUGGGCGAUGACGGUGCACAGUGGUUACAUGUUACACUAAAAGCACUCCGAAAAAUAGUAAUCGUUCGACAUAGAAUGCAUGCAUUUACAAAAAUAUAUAUCAUAUUGGUAUUUAUUUUUAAGAGAUCUCAAAGAUCUUUAGGCUAAG
Molecule: non-coding RNA, 560 nt
Organism: Drosophila melanogaster (fruit fly)
Lineage: Eukaryota; Metazoa; Arthropoda; Insecta; Diptera; Drosophilidae
Source: Ensembl